Molecule: long non-coding RNA, 325 nt
Organism: Dendronephthya gigantea
Lineage: Eukaryota; Metazoa; Cnidaria; Anthozoa; Malacalcyonacea; Nephtheidae
Exons: 3
Source: RefSeq, a predicted model, not a curated record
ACACUAUAAACGUCUGACGGCGUCUUUGAACGGGAGUCUUUAAAGGUGCCCAUUCGAUACCAAAAGCCUUGGUCAUGAUGGAAUUAAAAAGCCGAAUUUCGGACUUCUUUUACCAAUAUUUCAGAAUUUAUUCCAGGAAAAGUUGUGGAUAGAUGGUUGUGAAAUAGGGAUUUAUUGGAAAGGUUCUUGUUGUUCUCUAUAUCUCUGAUUGGAAUGUCUGUUUGGAUAUUUGUUAAGAAGAAACUGAAAUGUGACACUAAGUAAUUGGUGAAGUAUGAAUAUUAUUUAUUGGACAAAUAUAAGGAUACUUAGAAAGUUGUCAGAA